Molecule: long non-coding RNA, 2242 nt
Organism: Homo sapiens (human)
Lineage: Eukaryota; Metazoa; Chordata; Mammalia; Primates; Hominidae
Product: long intergenic non-protein coding RNA 1779
Source: Ensembl
AGAAGAGGAAUCACUUCCUGCUCUUUCCUGUGGGUUCUCCCUCUGGUUGCUUUGCCUCAGCUCCAGGGACUGCCUCAGACACAGACAGAGCCUGCAAAAGAGGCAGGAGAGUAAGCAGCGGUUUGGAACAGACAGGAACAGAACAAACUGUGGGCACCAUGGGACUUGGCAUCCAGAGGUGGGGACACUGUGGAGACAAGGAGCACUGUGGAUCUGCCCAGCCACCCAGCUGUGUGAGAUGAGCCCUUGUGGAAGCUCCAGGCCAUGCAAAGGGGACAAAGAAUCCUUUCCCCUUGGGACGUUUCCAGAGCUUCUUGGAUAAUCCCAUGGUUUGGGUGUCUGAAAUCCCUAUGGGAAGCCCAGCACUUCCAGAGUGACUGCUGGGAUUCUCAGAGCUUCCCAGAACCAGCUUUGAUUUGUGCGGCUAAGCUAUGGGUGACCAGCUGCAGAACACCCCUGGUUCCGGGCCAGCUCUCUGGGCAUGGCCAGCAAUGGUCCAUGGGGACCUCUCCAGGAACACUCAGUCCAAACGUGCUGGAGUCUGUUACUGUGCAUCUCUGGGCAUGAGCCUGUGUGUGGGUGUAAACGGACAAAUGAGCGUCUCCCCACGGCGAACCUCACUGUGUUGUCAUGUUGUGUCUUCACUUUUGUCCACUAGCAUGUGUGUGUGGGAGGGGACUCACGUCUAGAUAUGGGUAUAUAAUAAUAUGAGCAUACGACAUGUCAAAGCUCAUGUGAAAGAGGGUAGGUUGGGGUAUGUAGCUGUGUAGCCAUGUGUGUGCAUAUGGAUACACCCUCCUAGUGGUUCUCCACCCCGUUGUGGCUUACAGCUGCCUUAGAAAUUUCCCCUUUUGCUGCCUCAGGAUCCCUGGCAUGUUCCAAUGUAACCUGGGCCCUGCCUUGCAGAGACCGGCAGUUUGGUGCUCUGUUGGCCUGCCUUUGUUCCUGCAGGGUGCAGCUCCUGUCUGCUUUCCCUCGCCUCCCAUUGGUUUCUGUUCACCUCUCUUGCACCACCCCAAGCCUUGCUGACGUGCCCCUGGCCACAUUUGUAGGGAGCUAGCAACUAUUCGGUUUGGAGGCAGUUUUUGAGCCAAUGAAAGGUCAGUGCCCAGAAGUCCCUGGAGCUAUGGCAGGCUUGGAUCCACGAGUUUCUGCAACCCACAUCACCAUCUCCUUCUGACCCAAGCCUCUCCCUCCAGCCUAGGCAGGCACAGCUGGUGGUUGAGGGCCCUCCCUGUCUAGUCAUUCUGCCUUAGAUUGGUUCCCAGUUGAAAGCAGCAACACUCUCUGGCAUGCUGAGAGCCUCUCCUCUAGGUUUCUGGGGAUUUCACUCAUAGGUUCCACAUUACCCUGCAAAGCUGGGAGAACUAGGGACUACGGUGGCCAUUAAAACUUGUGAAUGUUUGGGGUUUAAUGGAGAAUAUUCUAAGCUGCUGGUGGGCUCUUAGGAGAGGAAUGGCACAUUCAAAGAGGCAGAUCUGGGAGAUGUUUCUGCAGCCUGGCAGGGAGAAGCAGCUCUUGGCACCAGCUCUAAGAGGCCUGGUGCAAUGCCACUCCCUCUGCAGCAGCACUCCUCCUGAGGCCUCGGGCUCCCCAUCCUCAGCAACCCCUGCUCAGGUCUCCCCAGUGUGUGACUGGCCCUUAAUGCUGCUCUUUGGCCAGAAGGGCUGAGGCAGAGUGCCUCCAGGUGGGGACUUUCUUAUGAUGAGGAAAAUGAUCAGAAAGUUCUAUGACCUUGGACAAAUUACUUAAGCUUUCCGUGCCUCGGUUUUUCAAACUGCAAAAUGGGAAUAGUAACCGUAUGUACCUCACAGGGUUGUGGUGAGAACUGAGUUACUCUGUGUAAAGCACUUGGAACAAUAUCUGGCUUGUAAGCACUCAAUAACUGUUUGCUACGAUUAGACUAUCCCACUGGUCAAGCUAGCCUUUUACCUGGGUCUGCUGGAUGGGGGAAGAAGGGAGGGACAAUGCCCUUCCAUCCCAGGAAAGGAUUCCCACUGACCUAGCAUUACAGAGUACAUGCAGGCUGCCUGGUGGACGCAGCCCUGAGCUGCCUUCCUGUCAAGGCAGGUGAGCACAUCCUGCCUCUCCCUGCUUUAAUAUCUCUGAAGUCUUUUCUUAAAGGUCAGCAGAGCAGAGAGACCCCUCUAGAAUUGGUCUCUUGUGAUAAGGCCAGAAGACCUAGACUCUAAAAAUAAACCUUAAUAAGAUUUUAAGUAAACACUUUCUCUACAACAAUUCA